Molecule: ribosomal RNA, 597 nt
Filed under: uncultured bacterium
Lineage: Bacteria
Description: bacterial SSU rRNA
Rfam family: Bacterial small subunit ribosomal RNA
Source: RNAcentral
AAUGCUUAGGAAUCUGCCUAUUAGUGGGGGACAACAUUCCGAAAGGAAUGCUAAUACCGCAUACGCCCUACGGGGGAAAGCAGGGGAUCUUCGGACCUUGCGCUAAUAGAUGAGCCUAAGUCAGAUUAGCUAGUUGGUGGGGUAAAGGCCUACCAAGGCGACGAUCUGUAGCGGGUCUGAGAGGAUGAUCCGCCACACUGGGACUGAGACACGGCCCAGACUCCUACGGGAGGCAGCAGUGGGGAAUAUUGGACAAUGGGCGAAAGCCUGAUCCAGCCAUGCCGCGUGUGUGAAGAAGGCCUUUUGGUUGUAAAGCACUUUAAGCGAGGAGGAGGCUACCGAGAUUAAUACUCUUGGAUAGUGGACGUUACUCGCAGAAUAAGCACCGGCUAACUCUGUGCCAGCAGCCGCGGUAAUACAGAGGGUGCGAGCGUUAAUCGGAUUUACUGGGCGUAAAGCGUGCGUAGGCGGCUUUUUAAGUCAGAGGUGAAAGCCCGGGGCUCAACCCCGGAACUGCCUUUGAGACUGGAUUGCUUGAAUCCUGGAGAGGUGAGUGGAAUUCCGAGUGUAGAGGUGAAAUUCGUAGAUAUUCGGAAG